Apis dorsata (giant honeybee) is the source of this 1522-nucleotide RNA transcript. It is a transcript of the gene named carboxy-terminal domain RNA polymerase II polypeptide A small phosphatase 1, with no coding region annotated. The transcript has 5 exons. NCBI's taxonomy places the organism in Eukaryota, Metazoa, Arthropoda, Insecta, Hymenoptera, Apidae. The record is from RefSeq and is a predicted model, not a curated record.
UGAUAGUGGUGGUGGUGACGACGGCAGCCGCGACAGCAUUUGGAGGGAGAAAUUUCAUACAUCGUGACUGAGUUAGUGCGUGUACGUGCUACCGCGCGUAUAUGCUCUCUCAUUCUCAAGAUUGUGCGCGCGUGUAUUGUAUAUGUAUGUAUGUAUAUUAUCGCGCGCGCGCAUUAACGGAAUUCACGAUCAGACACGCAGGGACUCUCAACAAAUGUUUAAAUGGACGCAUCGUCCAUUAUCACGCAAGUGUCGCGGGAUGACGAGCUAGGCCAGUUUAAUAAUGGGAAAGCUCAAUUACCACAAGAAAAUGAAGUGGCCAACAACAAUCCAGCCAGUGGCAAAAAGCCAAGAGGGCGUGGACUUCUGCGGUCUCUACUUUGUUGUCUUGGUAGAGGACGUGGAAGUAGUUCAAAAAGUUCAAAAACAAGUUCAUUGCAAGGUGAUGGACAUGGUUCUCCAUCCCUGAGGACUGGAUCCCCAAGAUUCCUUCUUCCACCUGUCAGACAUCAGGAUAUGCACAAGAAGUGCAUGGUGAUUGAUUUGGAUGAAACACUAGUGCAUAGUUCUUUCAAACCAAUCAACAAUGCCGAUUUUGUUGUUCCUGUAGAAAUUGAUGGGACAGUACAUCAAGUGUAUGUUUUAAAGAGGCCUUAUGUGGAUGAAUUCUUACAGAGAAUGGGUGAACUUUACGAGUGUGUAUUGUUCACUGCAAGUUUGGCUAAGUAUGCUGAUCCAGUAGCAGAUUUACUUGACAGAUGGGGCGUAUUUAGAGCAAGACUGUUUAGAGAAUCUUGUGUUUAUCACAGAGGAAAUUAUGUUAAAGAUUUAAAUAAACUAGGACGGGAUUUACAACAAAUCAUUAUUGUUGAUAAUAGUCCUGCCAGUUAUAUUUUCCAUCCAGAUAAUGCAGUACCAGUGGCAUCAUGGUUUGAUGAUAUGACAGAUUCAGAAUUAUUAGAUUUAAUUCCAUUUUUUGAAAAGCUCAGUAAUGUGGAGAAUAUUUACACAGUCUUGUGCAAUAGUAAUCAUCCUUAUAAUCAAGUACCUUCGGCUAUACAAAGUAGUCCAAGCCCAGGGUCAGGUUCACUUGGUGCUUCCUAGCCCUACCUAAAUUCUAGCCAAAUAGUCAGUAUUGUCAUCGCUCAAUGCACUCUGAGGAGAAUUUUAAUUGGAAUAUUCCACAUUGCUUAUUUGUUAUGUAGCAAUGGACAACCAGUUCUUUUUUCUGAGAAAUAAUACAAUAUGAUUGUUCGCAAUAUGUCAAAAACAAUGAACUGAUUCUAUUUAUUUAAUUAUUAAAAUAUAGUUGAUAAAAAGUUCAAAAAUAUUAAUCUAAUUGAUUAUAUAACAAGACAUUCUUUUAAUUAAAUUGGAAAAAAAAUAUAUUUUAAGUAUAAUUUAUUACACAAUGAAUUAAUGUGUAUAUUCCCGUGUUUGAUGUAUUUGAGAAAAGGAGUAAAUGACAAUGGUAACAAUACAUGAAACAUAAAAUUUGAUAUUUGAUGAAUAAAUAUAUUUA